GACGAACCGUGCGAACGUUGUUCGGAAUCACUGGGCUUAAAGGGCGCGUAGGCGACUGACCAAGUCUGGGGUGAAAUCCUGCAGCUUAACUGUAGAAGUGCCUGGGAUACUGGUCGGCUCGAGGGAGGUAGGGGUCUGUGGAACUGCUGGUGGAGCGGUGAAAUGCGUUGAUAUCAGCAGGAACGCCGGUGGCGAAAGCGACGGACUGGAUCUCUUCUGACGCUGAGGCGCGAAAGCUAGGGGAGCAAACGGGAUUAGAUACCCCGGUAGUCCUAGCCCUAAACGAUGGGUACUAGAUUGUGAACUAACUUGGGUCCACAGUCGAAGCAAAAGUGUUAAGUACCCCGCCUGGGGAGUAUGGUCGCAAGGCUGAA
This 374-nucleotide ribosomal RNA is filed under the name uncultured bacterium. RNAcentral describes it as "bacterial SSU rRNA". It matches the Rfam family "Bacterial small subunit ribosomal RNA", at positions 524 to 898 of the family's 1533-position model. The record is from RNAcentral.